Molecule: long non-coding RNA, 379 nt
Organism: Anneissia japonica
Lineage: Eukaryota; Metazoa; Echinodermata; Crinoidea; Comatulida; Comatulidae
Exons: 3
Source: RefSeq, a predicted model, not a curated record
CUUUCUAGAUAGAAAGAACUUCACUUUUUGUUGUUUUGAUUGAAUGAUUGACACCACCACUGAGGCAAUUGGCGAAUGGUCCGAGUCAUGAAACACGAAAGAAAUUCCUGAAGUUGUCUUACUCACCCGUAGCCAUCAAAUAAUAUAGCCUUGACAAUGGACACGCCGUCUGAAAGGGCUGAAUAAUAACACUGACGUGAUCACCCAUUGUGUUGAUGCACUGUACUUCACUGAUGCAAAGGAAGUAAUAUGUUAUGUUACUGUAGAUCUACUCUGAUUUGAAUACUAUUUAUGUAAUUGAGUAUUAUUUAACAUUUAAAUCUGAUGUUUACCUAAUAUGACUGGGGAGCCUUGAUAUAUACCUUGGAGUAUUAACAGU